RNAcentral lists this ribosomal RNA (425 nucleotides) under uncultured bacterium. RNAcentral's name for it is "bacterial SSU rRNA". It matches the Rfam family "Bacterial small subunit ribosomal RNA", at positions 354 to 796 of the family's 1533-position model. The record is from RNAcentral.
GUGGGGAAUAUUGGACAAUGGGCGCAAGCCUGAUCCAGCCAUGCCGCGUGGGUGAAGAAGGCCCUAGGGUUGUAAACCCCUUUCAGCGGGGAAGAUAAUGACGGUACCCGCAGAAGAAGCCCCGGCUAACUCCGUGCCAGCAGCCGCGGUAAUACGGAGGGGGCUAGCGUUGUUCGGAAUUACUGGGCGUAAAGCGCGCGUAGGCGGACCUGCAAGUCGGGGGUGAAAGCCCGAGGCUCAACCUCGGAACUGCCUUCGAUACUGCGGGUCUCGAGUCCGGGAGAGGUGAGUGGAAUUCCUAGUGUAGAGGUGAAAUUCGUAGAUAUUAGGAAGAACACCAGUGGCGAAGGCGGCUCACUGGCCCGGUACUGACGCUGAGGCGCGAAAGCGUGGGGAGCAAACAGGAUUAGAUACCCCGGUAGUCC